RNAcentral lists this ribosomal RNA (465 nucleotides) under uncultured bacterium. RNAcentral describes it as "partial 16S ribosomal RNA". It matches the Rfam family "Bacterial small subunit ribosomal RNA", at positions 28 to 507 of the family's 1533-position model. The record is from RNAcentral.
GACGAACGCUGGCGGCGUGCUUAACACAUGCAAGUCGAACGGAAAGGCCCUGCUUGCAGGGUACUCGAGUGGCGAACGGGUGAGUAACACGUGGGUGAUCUGCCCUGCACUUCGGGAUAAGCCUGGGAAACUGGGUCUAACACCGGAUAGGAGCCAUUUUUAGUGUGAUGGUUGGAAAGUUUUUUCGGUGUAGGAUGAGCUCGCGGCCUAUCAGCUUGUUGGUGGGGUAAUGGCCUACCAAGGCGGCGACGGGUAGCCGGCCUGAGAGGGUGGACGGCCACAUUGGGACUGAGAUACGGCCCAGACUCCUACGGGAGGCAGCAGUGGGGAAUAUUGCACAAUGGGCGCAAGCCUGAUGCAGCGACGCCGCGUGGGGGAUGACGGCCUUCGGGUUGUAAACUCCUUUCGCUAGGGACGAAGCUUUUUGUGACGGUACCUAGAGAAGAAGCACCGGCUAACUACGUG